GGGGACCCGCAAGCGGUGGAGCAUGUGGUUUAAUUCGAAGCAACGCGAAGAACCUUACCAAAUCUUGACAUCCUCUGAACGCUAUAGAGAUAUAGUUUCCCUUCGGGGCAGAGUGACAGGUGGUGCAUGGUUGUCGUCAGCUCGUGUCGUGAGAUGUUGGGUUAAGUCCCGCAACGAGCGCAACCCUUAAUAUUAGUUGCCAUCAUUCAGUUGGGCACUCUAAUGUGACUGCCGGUGACAAACCGGAGGAAGGUGGGGACGACGUCAAAUCAUCAUGCCCCUUAUGAUUUGGGCUACACACGUGCUACAAUGGGCAGGAACAAAGGGCAGCUAAACCGCGAGGUCAUGCGAAUCCCAUAAAACUGUUCUCAGUUCGGAUUGGAGUCUGCAACUCGACUCCAUGAAGCUGGAAUCGCUAGUAAUCGUAGGUCAGCAUACUACGGUGAAUACGUUCCCGGGUCUUGUACACACC
Molecule: ribosomal RNA, 472 nt
Filed under: uncultured bacterium
Lineage: Bacteria
Description: bacterial SSU rRNA
Rfam family: Bacterial small subunit ribosomal RNA
Source: RNAcentral